Glycine soja is the source of this 1335-nucleotide long non-coding RNA. RefSeq lists it as uncharacterized. The record is from RefSeq and is a predicted model, not a curated record. The transcript has 4 exons. NCBI's taxonomy places the organism in Eukaryota, Viridiplantae, Streptophyta, Magnoliopsida, Fabales, Fabaceae.
AGGUAAGCUAUAAUUUUUAUGUAUUUUCCUCAAUGCUUAAUUAUCUGGAUUUGCAUGCAAGCUCUACACCUCACAGUAUCUUUUUGCGGUUUUUAUUUUUGCAAUUUUUAUUUGGAUCAGGGUGUCUGUGGCUCAGUGGUAUUUUUAGUGCUCACAGUUAUGCAUUUUCUGAUCAUGUUCAUUAGGACAUUUAUUGGUUGCAUGUUAUGUGUUUGAUCAAAUGUCAAGAUGAUAUUUUUGGGUAUGUUUUCUUAUUUCUUAUUUUAAUUUUAAAUUUGUGGCACUUUUAAAAUUAUUAGUUAUAACUAAAAAGUGUAGUUUGGUUGGAUCCAAUCUAUACUUUUAAAUAAACAACUUGCUUUCAUAUUUGUUUUUUGUUUUUUAUUUCCCUCAACUGCCAUUUCCCGUUGGCCUAGAGCUACAACCAGAGCUGCCAAGGUAUUUCUAGCAUUCUCCUUCUUCGAAUUUUUUUUUAUUUUUCUGCUUCUUCAGGUUCUUUUAGAUUUGUUGACAUUACGAGUUUUUUUUUUGCUUGAUCAAGUUCUGAGGGUAAUUUUAGGAGCCUCCAUUCCCAUUUGUUAAAGGGCCAAGAUGAUUUUCCUUUUGCAUUGAAGGUGUAAGGAAAUGAUUUGUUGAAAAUAUGAGUUUUUUUUCUUUCCCUGCUGUUCUCAUGCAUGUUUUAUUUUUAUUCUCAUGCAUGUUAACUUUUCAUUUUUCUGUGUUUUUGGUCCCUUUGCUAUUUUUGUUCUCAUGCAUGUUAACUUUUCAUUUUUCUGUAUUUUUGGUCCCUUUGUUGUUGUCCAUUUUUUGUUGAGUGGAGAAGUUUUGACUUUUGCUUCCUGUUAUUGAUGUUUUCCUGGUAAUUCAUGGUUGUUUGUUUAGUGUUUUUUAUGUUCUCAUGCAUGUUUGCUUUUCUAAUGUUUUUUUAUUUUUUCUUUGUUGCGACAGGUAUUAUGUUCCAAGACAUUACUACUCUAUUGCUUUCUGUUGUUGUAGCAGGUAUUAUAUUCCAAGACAUUACUACGUUCUGCUUCACUGGAAAUCGUGCCACUUGAGGAAGUUUUUCAGACUCUGAGGUGUGAUUCAAAUGGACUCACAAUAGCAUCUGCAGAAAGGCUUUCACAUUCCGGCAAGGAUAGGAUUCUCGCUUCAAUAUUCACAAAAUUGAAGUUACUGUGGCUCUUCCAUCAACCAAUGAUUGAAAACUAUUUGUUUUUUGUUAUUCUUAUAUGACAAAUAAGUCAUUGAUUCUUACUCAAUUUUUGUUGCUCGAGAUUAUGCAUUUUUUUAUUCUCACUUUUGUAAAAUAAACAACCUAUUCUUCACUUAUAGUAA